UGAAUACGAGACGCUAAGGCGUCGAAGUAGUGUAUGUCAUACUUCCAAGAAAAGCUUGCACUGUCAUAGAUAAAAAACGCCUGUACCAUAACCGACACAGGUGGGUAGGUAGAGUAUACUAAGGGGCGCGAGAUAACUCUCUCUAAGGAACUCGGCAAAAUAACUCCGUAACUUCGGGGGAAGGAGUGCCUUAUUCGUAAGGUUGCAAUAACAAGAUCCAAGCAACUGUUUAUCAAAAACACAGGUCUCCGCUAAGUCGUAAGACGAUGUAUGGGGGCUGACGCCUGCCCAGUGCCAGAAGGUUAAAGAAGUUGGUUAGCAAUUGCGAAGCUGAUAACUGAAGCCCUGGUGAACGGCGGCCGUAACUAUAACGGUCCUAAGGUAGCGAAAUUCCUUGUCGGGUAAGUUCCGACCCGCACGAAAGGCGUAAUGAUUUGGAUACUGUCUCGGAGAGGGGCUCGGUGAAAUAGACUUGUCUGUGAAGAUGCGGACUACCUGCACCAGGACAGAAAGACCCUAUGAAGCUUUACUGUAACUUGAAAUUGAAAUUGGACUUUAUUCGCGCAGUAUAGGUGGGAGGCGUUGAUUAUAAUCUUGUGGGAUUAUUGGAGCCAUCAGUGAGAUACCACUCUUGUAAUGUUAGAUUUCUAACUUUGAAUCAUUAUCUGGUCAAAGAACAGUUUCAGGCGGGCAGUUUGACUGGGGCGGUCGCCUCCUAAACGGUAACGGAGGCGUACAAAGGUUUCCUCUGAACGGUUAGAAAUCGUAUCUAGAGUGUAAAGGCAUAAGGAAGCUUGACUGUGAGACCUACAAGUCGAGCAGGGACGAAAGUCGGUCUUAGUGAUCUGACGGUACUGAGUGGAAAGGCCGUCACUCAACGGAUAAAAGUUACUCUAGGAUAACAGGCUGAUCUCCCCCAAGAGUUCACAUCGACGGGGAGGUUUGGCACCUCGAUGUCGGCUCAUCGCAUCCUGGGGCGGUAGUGCGUCCCAAGGGUUGGGCUGUUCGCCCAUGAAAGCGGUACGCGAGCUGGGUUCAGAACGUCGUGAGACAGUUCGGUCCAUAUCCGGUGUAGGCGUUAGAAUAUUGAGAGGAGCCUUCUUUAGUACGAGAGGACCGAGAAGGACAUACCUCUGGUGUACCAGUUAUCGUGCCAACGGUAAACGCUGGGUAGCUAUGUAUGGAGUGGAUAACCGCUGAAAGCAUCUAAGUGGGAAGCCCACCUCAAGAUAAG
Molecule: ribosomal RNA, 1234 nt
Filed under: metagenome
Description: bacterial LSU rRNA
Rfam family: Bacterial large subunit ribosomal RNA
Source: RNAcentral